This 1033-nucleotide ribosomal RNA is filed under the name Candidatus Pelagibacter sp. RNAcentral describes it as "bacterial SSU rRNA". It matches the Rfam family "Bacterial small subunit ribosomal RNA", at positions 488 to 1533 of the family's 1533-position model. The record is from RNAcentral. Lineage: Bacteria; Pseudomonadati; Pseudomonadota; Alphaproteobacteria; Candidatus Pelagibacterales; Candidatus Pelagibacteraceae.
AGGUCCGGCUAACUUCGUGCCAGCAGCCGCGGUAAUACGAAGGGACCUAGCGUAGUUCGGAAUUACUGGGCUUAAAGAGUUCGUAGGUGGUUGAAAAAGUUGGUGGUGAAAUCCCAGAGCUUAACUCUGGAACUGCCAUCAAAACUUUUCAGCUAGAGUAUGAUAGAGGAAAGCAGAAUUUCUAGUGUAGAGGUGAAAUUCGUAGAUAUUAGAAAGAAUACCAAUUGCGAAGGCAGCUUUCUGGAUCAUUACUGACACUGAGGAACGAAAGCAUGGGUAGCGAAGAGGAUUAGAUACCCUCGUAGUCCAUGCCGUAAACGAUGUGUGUUAGACGUUGGAAAUUUAUUUUCAGUGUCGCAGGGAAACCGAUAAACACACCGCCUGGGGAGUACGACCGCAAGGUUAAAACUCAAAUGAAUUGACGGGGACCCGCACAAGUAGUGGAGCAUGUGGUUUAAUUCGAAGAUACGCGCAGAACCUUACCAACACUUGACAUGUUCGUCGCGACUCUAAGAGAUUAGAGUUUUCGGUUCGGCCGGACGAAACACAGGUGCUGCAUGGCUGUCGUCAGCUCGUGUCGUGAGAUGUUGGGUUAAGUCCCGCAACGAGCGCAACCCUCACUUUUAGUUGCCAUCAUUAAGUUGGGCACUCUGAAAGAACUGCCAGUGAUAAGCUGGAGGAAGGUGGGGAUGACGUCAAGUCCUCAUGGCCCUUACGUGUUGGGCUACACACGUGCUACAAUGGCAUCUACAACAGGAAGCAAAACGGCAACGUUAAGCAAAUCCCGAAAAGAUGCCUCAGUUCGGAUUGCACUCUGCAACUCGAGUGCAUGAAGCUGGAAUUACUAGUAAUCGUGGAUCAGCGUGCCACGGUGAAUGCGUUCCCGGGUCUUGUACACACCGCCCGUCACACCAUGGGAGUUGGUUCUACCUUAAGGCAAGGUUUCAAACCCUUGACCACGGUAUAGUCAGCGACUGGGGUGAAGUCGUAACAAGGUAGCCGUAGGGGAACCUGCGGCUGGAUUACCUCCUUU